GUGGAUUGCCCGGUGGUCUAUGUGACAGCAGUCUCUGGGGCUUAGCGAGGAACAAGGCAAUGUCUCAGAAGGAAUCCUCAAGGACAUCUCUGAAAAAAGUUGGGAAGGAAGGAAGAAGGGACAUCUUAUAGAAAAUUCCAACAUUUCCUCAAGGACAAGACAAAAGAUGGCAUCUGGGGGAAUUUGUUCCUCAUCAGCAUUUAGUAGCAAGACGGUGGAAUCAUUGUCCGAAGACAUCUUUCAGCAACUACAGCUGGAUUUGAAUGACUGCAAUUGCUUUCCACUGCA
Chrysemys picta bellii (western painted turtle) is the source of this 288-nucleotide non-coding RNA. The record is from RefSeq and is a predicted model, not a curated record. NCBI's taxonomy places the organism in Eukaryota, Metazoa, Chordata, Testudines, Emydidae.